Molecule: long non-coding RNA, 957 nt
Filed under: Mus musculus (house mouse)
Lineage: Eukaryota; Metazoa; Chordata; Mammalia; Rodentia; Muridae
Description: predicted gene 4861
Source: RNAcentral
AGUCUGGUCUCGCUCUGUGUUAGAUCAAGCACUGCCGCCUCCCGAGAGCCUUUCCUAUGAGUUCAUAAACCAUCGUUUAUUAAGCCUGCUUUAAGGCUCUUUAGCUAUCCACUCUUUCACGGGUAUUUCUGUCUCAGCAUCUGACCAGUGUGCAAGCAAUGAACACCCUGUGCAGCAUCCCAGUCUCUCUCCUGACUCUGGUGGCAGGCCAGAACUGGAUCUAUCAUAUAAGGAAAAAGAGGAUGAGUGCAGCAAAAGUUCAAAACCAAAAUCUGUCAGGAAUGGAGUGGAAAGCAUCGAGGAGAGGCAAGUGUUGGAGAACAGACACUGGGCUUCGAAAGGCCACGCUGGUCUUUACUCUAGUCAUCCUUGGCACUUAUGUUAGUGAUUCCUUACUUCUGGUUCUAAGACUGGGGACAGGCAGAGCCUGCUGGUCGAGAACCACAGAACCCCCACCGUCCCAUAGAUUUUGCUUCUGAUCUCUGUAACAUAAGUUUUAUAGUAAAAUUUUCCUGUGCUAUUUGAGCUUGUUGAAUACACACUGGGAGUGAGGAGGCAGCCCCUUAAGCCAGAGGCAGCAUGAUUAUUUCAAUCGAGAGAAGAACAAACAGUGGAGGGGGUAUUAAUGACAUCGUGCCCUUGAGAAUGGUUGGAAGGCAUAGUCUUCCCAACAGUGGCUACUCUCUAUCUUACGAUAGAAUUACGAAUAUGCACAGGGGAUGAGAAACUAAAACUCAUCCAUGGAUGAAGCUCAACUCUUCGGGAAACUCUCAGUUUUCAGCAGGGCUCAUUGCCCAGUUAUUUCUGCUGGAUGUUGUAUCUGAUUUCAUGAAACGUCGCUAUCUAUUAGCUGCUGCUGAGUUUUCUAUUACUUCUACUUGAGAUAUAUAUUAUAUAGUAUUAAUAUACAUUUUUGUUUUUGUAAAUAUAAUAUAUUCAGUUCACUCAUUCAAAGCC